RNAcentral lists this ribosomal RNA (490 nucleotides) under uncultured bacterium. RNAcentral's name for it is "partial 16S ribosomal RNA". It matches the Rfam family "Bacterial small subunit ribosomal RNA", at positions 30 to 507 of the family's 1533-position model. The record is from RNAcentral.
AUUGAACGCUGGCGGCAGGCCUAACACAUGCAAGUCGAACGGUAACAGGAAGCAGCUUGCUGCUUUGCUGACGAGUGGCGGACGGGUGAGUAAUGUCUGGGAAACUUCCCGAGGGAGGGGGAUAACUACUGGAAACGGUAGCUAAUACCGCAUAACGUCGCAAGACCAAAGAGGGGGACCUUAGGGCCUCUUGUCAUCGGAUGUGCCCAGAUGGGAUUAGCUAGUAGGUGGGGUAACGGCUAACCUAGGCGACGAUCCCUAGCUGGUCUGAGAGGAUGACCAGGCAGCCUGGAACUGAGAAACGGUCCAGACUCCUACGGGAGGCAGCAGUGGGGACUCUUGCGCGAUGGGGGAAAGCCUGAUGCAGCCAUGCCGGGUGUAUGAAGAAGGCCUUAGGCUUGUAAAGUACUUUCAGCGGGGAGAAAGGGAGAAAAGUUAAUACCUUUGCUCAUUGACGUUACCCGCAGAAGAAGCCCCGGCUAACUCCGUG